GGUGUGUAUAGCCCAGUCUCUGAAGAUCCCGCGUGAACCCAAGCCAGGGGAGUUUGAUAAGAUCAUCAUACGUCUGCUGGAGACGUCCAACGCCAGGGCUGUCAUUAUGUUCGCCAACGAGGACGACAUACGGCGUAUCUUGGACGCGGCCAAGCACAACAACCAGACUGGUCACUUCCUGUGGGUGGGGUCAGACAGCUGGGGCUCCAAGAUCUCUCCUGUGAUUGACCAGGAGCGGGUGGCUGAGGGAGCCGUUACCAUCCUGCCCAAACGAGCCUCCGUGGACGCGUUUGACCGGUACUUCCGGAGCCGCUCUCUGUCCAAC
Molecule: long non-coding RNA, 325 nt
Organism: Salvelinus sp. IW2-2015
Lineage: Eukaryota; Metazoa; Chordata; Actinopteri; Salmoniformes; Salmonidae
Source: RefSeq, a predicted model, not a curated record